GUUCGUCGGUGGCUCGGCGGACUGAGUGGUUCAGCGUGAAGGACAGGGCCGGGGCUGGCCUAGUGUCGCCUCGAAACCAUGGCAAACUACACGUACACCACCAACAUCAUGGACCUAGCGGGUCUGCAAGACCUUAGGAAACACUCUGUCAUCGAACCUAGAAUCACCAUCAAAGAGUUAACAAUUAACUUCAACGAUAUCAUAGAAGGAAAGGAUGAGUGGAGUGUGCAAGACAAAAUUUCUCAAAAGGUUUUACGCAAAUUGCUGGAUCAUAUUGUGUUAC
This is a long non-coding RNA of Hemiscyllium ocellatum (epaulette shark), 283 nucleotides long. RefSeq lists it as uncharacterized. The record is from RefSeq and is a predicted model, not a curated record. Lineage: Eukaryota; Metazoa; Chordata; Chondrichthyes; Orectolobiformes; Hemiscylliidae. The transcript is spliced from 3 exons.